UGCAGUGUUCAUUUGGCUUCACCUUCACAU
Molecule: non-coding RNA, 30 nt
Filed under: Mus musculus (house mouse)
Lineage: Eukaryota; Metazoa; Chordata; Mammalia; Rodentia; Muridae
Source: RNAcentral